UGCCUAUUUAGUUUUGGUUGAGAGAGACUCUCGGGAGGUACCACAUAAUGACUUUGUGUUGGGGGGCAGGGGUGCUAUUUCUGUUGUCCUAGGGAUUAGUGGGGAGUAUUUGUGUGUGGGCUGAGGCCUGAUCGAGACUCUUUGAGAGAUAGUGGUUAAUUCACAGUGCCAGCAGCCGCGGUUAUUCUGUUAACUUUGUCUCUUUGUCGGUUUAAAUGGUUUGUGGAUGAGAGGGAUAAGGGGUAGAAUCUUUAUUUUACGGUUAUUCUUCCGCAGUUUGAUUAAGGGGCUAUUCAGGAGAUGGGGAUUAGAGACCCCCGUAUCGAGUAGGUUACUUUGUGCUCCCAUAGUCUAAACUAAAAAAACUUGGCAGCUGAUGAGAUUCUUCCGGGGGAGUGUGUGCUGUAAGAGAUAGUCCGCUUAGUUAUUUGCCGUCCCCAGUUAAGUUAGUGUAUAUCCGGCUCAACAUUCGUGGUUUAUGCUAGGAGUGGAUUUAGGAUUAGUUAAGUCAGGUCUAUGUGCUGCUUAUGGGAUGGGGGUCAUGCACUACUUUUUAUAAAAUGUCUCUCUACGUUGGUCGGGGAUAAAUUAAGGACUCGGAAGUAGGUUUGAUUGUGAGGUUGGAUCGAAGUUGAUUUAGUCGGGGUACACACCGCCCGUCACCCAUGGUGUUUAGCUUUGGUAAGUCGUAACAUGGUAAUACUGGGGGAACCGGGUAUUAGUUCAGUGGGGCGUGUGUUUCCUCUGCUGUUAAUGGCUUCU
This 762-nucleotide ribosomal RNA is filed under the name Metagonimus yokogawai. RNAcentral's name for it is "12S ribosomal RNA". The record is from RNAcentral. Lineage: Eukaryota; Metazoa; Platyhelminthes; Trematoda; Opisthorchiida; Heterophyidae.